UACAGAGGUCUCAAGCGUUGUUCGGAUUCAUUGGGCGUAAAGGGUGCGUAGGUGGCGCCGUAAGUCAGGUGUGAAAUUUCGGAGCUUAACUCCGAAGCUGCAUUUGAUACUGCGAUGCUUGAGGACUGGAGAGGAGACUGGAAUUCACGGUGUAGCAGUGAAAUGCGUAGAUAUCGUGAGGAAGACCAGUGGCGAAGGCGGGUCUCUGGACAGUUCCUGACACUGAGGCACGAAGGCCAGGGGAGCAAACGGG
Molecule: ribosomal RNA, 253 nt
Filed under: uncultured bacterium
Lineage: Bacteria
Description: partial 16S ribosomal RNA
Rfam family: Bacterial small subunit ribosomal RNA
Source: RNAcentral